GACGAACGCUGGCGGCGUGCCUAAUACAUGCAAGUAGAACGCUGAAGGAGGAGCUUGCUUCUCUGGAUGAGUUGCGAACGGGUGAGUAACGCGUAGGUAACCUGCCUGGUAGCGGGGGAUAACUAUUGGAAACGAUAGCUAAUACCGCAUAAGAGUAGAUGUUGCAUGACAUUUGCUUAAAAGGUGCAAUUGCAUCACUACCAGAUGGACCUGCGUUGUAUUAGCUAGUUGGUGAGGUAACGGCUCACCAAGGCAACGAUACAUAGCCGACCUGAGAGGGUGAUCGGCCACACUGGGACUGAGACACGGCCCAGACUCCUACGGGAGGCAGCAGUAGGGAAUCUUCGGCAAUGGACGGAAGUCUGACCGAGCAACGCCGCGUGAGUGAAGAAGGUUUUCGGAUCGUAAAGCUCUGUUGUAAGAGAAGAACGAGUGUGAGAGUGGAAAGUCACACUGUGACG
This 461-nucleotide ribosomal RNA is filed under the name Streptococcus mitis. RNAcentral describes it as "bacterial SSU rRNA". It matches the Rfam family "Bacterial small subunit ribosomal RNA", at positions 28 to 474 of the family's 1533-position model. Lineage: Bacteria; Bacillati; Bacillota; Bacilli; Lactobacillales; Streptococcaceae. The record is from RNAcentral.